CCUACGGGAGGCUGCAGUGGGGAAUAUUGCACAAUGGGGGAAACCCUGAUGCAGCGACGCCGCGUGAGUGAAGAAGUAAUUCGUUAUGUAAAGCUCUAUCAGCAGGGAAGAAGGAGGACGGUACCUGACUAAGAAGCCCCGGCUAACUACGUGCCAGCAGCCGCGGUAAUACGUAGGGGGCAAGCGUUAUCCGGAUUUACUGGGUGUAAAGGGGGCGCAGACGGCAGCGCAAGCCAGGAGUGAAAGCCCGGGGCCCAACCCCGGGACUGCUCUUGGAACUGCGCGGCUGGAGUGCAGGAGGGGCAGGCGGAAUUCCUGGUGUAGCGGUGAAAUGCGUAGAUAUCAGGAGGAACACCGGUGGCGAAGGCGGCCUGCUGGACUGCGACUGACGUUGAGGCCCGAAAGCGUGGGGAGCAAACAGGAUUAGAUACCCGUGUAGUC
RNAcentral lists this ribosomal RNA (441 nucleotides) under uncultured bacterium. RNAcentral's name for it is "partial 16S ribosomal RNA". It matches the Rfam family "Bacterial small subunit ribosomal RNA", at positions 338 to 795 of the family's 1533-position model. The record is from RNAcentral.